Molecule: long non-coding RNA, 477 nt
Filed under: Malus domestica (apple)
Lineage: Eukaryota; Viridiplantae; Streptophyta; Magnoliopsida; Rosales; Rosaceae
Description: long non-coding RNA (MDOM_LNC019156)
Source: RNAcentral
CAAAGGCUACGUUGCGCAAAGUUCGUUCAAUUUUUGGGUCAGAGCAUUCAACGCAUGGGAAACUGAGGAACACUUGCAUGACAAGGGCUUUGUAGCGCAAGUUACAGUUAGUUUUGGGUCUGAGCAUUUAGUGCAUGUGAAUUAGAUGAAUCAAUACUGUAUUUAGUGCAGAUGUUUGCGCGACAAAGCUUUCGUCACGCAAAGGCCCUAACCUUCCUAUAAAUAUGCGCUUCUGCUCUCCUUAUUUUUCACAAUUCUGUUCGUGUUGGGAUGGAGGAUAAAAAUCGGGAUGAGAGCGUGCCCGCCAACCCGUAUGAUUUGAGGCAACAUGUGGAGUUCACACAUGCUAUUGGUGUAGCCAUGCGAAAUAAUUGUCCUACUGCUGAGUGGCAUUCUUGGAAAUAUGUGUCCGAGAAUGUGAAGAAGGUGGUGUGAAGGAUUUAUUUUGAAAAACAUGUUCAUUUGAAUAACAUCUAU